CCUACGGGAGGCAGCAGUAAGGAAUAUUGGUCAAUGGGCGCAAGCCUGAACCAGCCAUGCCGCGUGCAGGAAGACGGCCCUAUGGGUUGUAAACUGCUUUUGAACAAGAGAAAACCUCGGUACGUGUACCGAGCUGAUAGUAUUGUUAGAAUAAGCAUCGGCUAACUUCGUGCCAGCAGCCGCGGUAAGACGAAGGAUGCAAGCGUUAUCCGGAUUCAUUGGGUUUAAAGGGUGCGUAGGCGGCCUGAUAAGUCAGUGGUGAAAUCUCUCAGCUUAACUGAGAAACUGCCAUUGAUACUGUCGGGCUUGAGUACAGAUGAUGUGGGCGGAAUAUGACAUGUAGUGGUGAAAUACUUAGAUAUGUCAUAGAACACCGAUUGCGAAGGCAGCUCACAAAACUGUAACUGACGCUGAGGCACGAAAGUGCGGGGAUCAAACAGGAUUAGAUACCCUGGUAGUCCGCACCGUAAACCGAUGAUUACUCGUUGUUGGCAAUAUGACCGUCAGCGACCAAGCGAAAGCGAUAAGUAAUCCACCCUGGGGAGUACGCCGGCAACGGUUGAAACUCAAAGGAAUUGACGGCGNGAGAGNGCGACGGACGACACGAGGGAGGAGG
This 616-nucleotide ribosomal RNA is filed under the name uncultured bacterium. RNAcentral's name for it is "bacterial SSU rRNA". It matches the Rfam family "Bacterial small subunit ribosomal RNA", at positions 338 to 953 of the family's 1533-position model. The record is from RNAcentral.